RNAcentral lists this ribosomal RNA (305 nucleotides) under uncultured bacterium. RNAcentral's name for it is "bacterial SSU rRNA". It matches the Rfam family "Bacterial small subunit ribosomal RNA", at positions 338 to 640 of the family's 1533-position model. The record is from RNAcentral.
CCUACGGGACGCAGCAGUGAGGAAUAUUGGUCAAUGGGCGGGAGCCUGAACCAGCCAAGUCGCGUGAGGGAAGACGGUCCUAUGGAUUGUAAACCUCUUUUGUCGGGGAGCAAAAAGACCACGUGUGGUCAAAAGCGAGAGUACCCGGAGAAAAAGCAUCGGCUAACUCCGUGCCAGCAGCCGCGGUAAUACGGAGGAUGCGAGCGUUAUCCGGAUUUAUUGGGUUUAAAGGGUGCGUAGGCGGGACGGUAAGUCAGCGGUAAAAAUGCGGAGCUCAACUCCGUCGAGCCGUUGAAACUGUCGUU